CCAUGGAUCACACAUUUUUGUAAAGAACUUGCCUUACUUUGUCCCUGUCUUUCCAAUUUUGGCCCACUGUUUAUUAAUGUUUAUCAAACUGGAGAGUGUGUUUUAGACGGUGUGUGAAUGGGUUGUUCAGAGUUUUAUUUGAAUGGUGUAUAUGUAAUAAAAUGUUUUUCUAUUCUAAAACCUACUGGCCGUUUUUGUACUUGGAUACCACUUUGAUGUACUUUUACUUAACACUCAAACUCAAAUAUUAUUGUAUGAUUGUUUUUUUGUUUUUUUUAUCGCUGUGAUACAAAACAUAUCUGUGUAAUUCUAUUCCUGAAUAUUUCUGCACUUUCCUAACUAGUAGUGUAUUAUUGUUGUAUCUACACAGCGGUGUUGAAUGUGAAGACAGGUGCUUAUAUUUGUCUUACAUUUUUAGAUAUGUGGCUUCAAUGAAUGAAUGAAUCUGGGAAGAAGUUCUGAAAGACCAACAGAGGCUCUGAGAAAGGAUACUUCAUUUCCAUUACCAGAGAAGAUGAGACCUCCACACAGACGGAACCUGCAACAGUCGAAUGACCGACUGUAAUUUAGUUUUUCUGCGUCCUCUUAUAGAGAAGAACCUCAUCAGAAGAUCCACGACAAAGGAAGACCAAGUGAGAGUAAGGAGACACCAGUAAAUCUACAUUUAGUCUCCAUACUUUGUAAAAAUACAGCACACACUAGCAGGAAUGUUGUAACAGAGUAUGUCAAAAUACAGUAAAAGAACAUCAGUGUAUAGUACUGUAUGUUGUGAAAAAAAGCGUGGAAAUCUUAUAGUAUAGCGGGCCAAAAAAUAUUCAGUAUGUUAAAAGCAAAAGCAGAGCAUUUUAAAUCGAUUAUACAGUUAAAGAGUCAUACGGGAGGUAUUUUAAAAAGUCAUAGUCAUAAAGAAACGUUGAAGCAUGUUCAAAAAAGAACAUAAUACAUACUCGAACUAUGGCAUGAUGAAAAGCAUGAAUGAUGUCUAAAUAUGUGAAAAUGAAUUAUUUUUAAAGAACACAGUAAAUGUCAGAGAGGAAUCAUACUAAAGUGAGGCGGACGUUUAACUACGGCAUGUAGUUGAAAAAGGUCGUAGCGUAGUGUGUCAAACAGUCCUAGAAUAUCUUCUAACAUGUGGAAAAAGUACUUAAAAAGGCAUAAAUAAAUAAAAUGCUCUUCUAUUUUCAUAUAGAACCGCCUGUCUGUCAUACAAAUAUAAUUAAACAAAUGAAGGAUUAGAUAAGUCAUAAAACAGUGUAGUACGCCAUAAAAGACACACCAUGUCUUAAAAAAAGCUCAUGGUAUAGUAUGUUAUAAAGAUUCAUGAUUAUAUCGCUCAUCAACAUUAUUUUAUGCGAUAAAUGGGUCAUUAAAACAUCAUGGUAUACUAUUAAAAAAUAAUUUGAUAAAACUACUUUAUCUGGGAAAACAGACUAUUUUCAUUUCAUAAAGGCGAGUAGAGAUGGAGUGUGUGCAAAUGACCCGAUACUAGUGUAUGAAUUAUUGUGUGUCUGUCCUUUAUUUGAGCAGCUGGAGCACCACAGGGAGGCUCAUCAAGUAUCCGUAUGAUUAAGCAUUAAAUGUGUUUCUUCCUGACAGACUGCAGCUUUCUGAAUUAAAUUGUACACAUAAUUAAAGUUCUUGAUGGAAAUAACAGAAAUUCAUUCUAAUAAAGAUGUUUGUGUUUU
This is a long non-coding RNA of Gasterosteus aculeatus aculeatus (three-spined stickleback), 1685 nucleotides long. RefSeq lists it as uncharacterized. The record is from RefSeq and is a predicted model, not a curated record. Lineage: Eukaryota; Metazoa; Chordata; Actinopteri; Perciformes; Gasterosteidae.